RNAcentral lists this non-coding RNA (28 nucleotides) under Mus musculus (house mouse). The record is from RNAcentral. Lineage: Eukaryota; Metazoa; Chordata; Mammalia; Rodentia; Muridae.
UGGACCAUUUCUGGGCUUUUCUACACCC